RNAcentral lists this non-coding RNA (64 nucleotides) under Streptomyces uncialis. Its description in RNAcentral is "Streptomyces RNA 2736". It matches the Rfam family "Streptomyces RNA 2736". From Rfam's summary of the family: Identified by deep sequencing of transcriptome at the end of exponential growth phase. Appears smaller on northern blot than sequencing transcript. The record is from Rfam by way of RNAcentral. Lineage: Bacteria; Bacillati; Actinomycetota; Actinomycetes; Kitasatosporales; Streptomycetaceae.
CGCCCGGCCGGAUCCCGUGGGGGGAAUCCGCACCGGGACAAAGGAAGGCGCCCCGACUGUCAGC